UCUGACCAUGAGCAGUUAACACCCAGCUCCUUAUGGAGCUCUAUUUAGAUCCUCAUCAAUCACUACCAUUCCUUUGUUUUUCUAGCCGUUUGUCUACCAAACAAUUCAGCAAACACAUUGGAUUCCCACUCUCAGUGAAGGAUCAAUAGAUAAACAAGGCAGGAUGCCUGUGUACUUGGGAGAUACUACAUACCUAGUAAGGGCCACUAAAUGGAAGUCAGAGGACAGAGACAAAUCUGCAUCCUUGAAGGAGUCAGUCACCUAGUCAGGAUAGGACGCAACUAUGUUACACAGCUGCCAUCUUGGGAGAAAGAGAAAAGCAGAGAGAGCACAGAAAAUUGACCUGUAAUUUAAAAAGAAAAUGACUCCUGAUGAGGUUGACACAGCCUACAUCAGAAAUGGGACAGUGAAUUAAAUGGUGUCAGCACUCUGUGACCUCAAGCCACGAGAAAGUGUUUCGUGAAUGGGUGGGCUAUCAGAAUGCCACCCAAAAUGCACUGGAAAGAGGUUGGUACAAUUGCUCUUACGUGAAGAUGCUGUAAAAAAAAAAAAGCACAGCUUUUUCAGCCUCUAACUUUUUUGGAUAUUAAAUUUACUCUGCUGUAUUACACAUAUUCUGCCCUUCUGUGCAGUUGUUGGGUUUGCGCCAGAAAAAUAAGUUAGUGGAGCUCUCACUCAGAUAGAUCAUCCAAGGACCUUUAUUCCAUACUUUGUUCCUUACAGUUGAGUGGCAUUUUUAUUUUAAAGAAAUCCAAGUGACCAGAUACUAUUUUGGUAAUAUCUUAUUCUUUAUUAUCCUAUUUUUUCCUUUUCUGUAUUUUCUUUGUUGAAACAGUUUGUAGGUCUGGUCUUCCUUACCUCCAGAGAGGAAAGGACAGGAUAAACUUGGGAAUCCUGGCUUUUGUUUUCCAAAUCCCAAACCCUGGAGAGAGGAGGAAAUUUGUGACCCCAAGAAAAGUGAUCUUAAUAAGCGUGGCAAGUAAAGGAUUUCCCAAGACAAGGAAUUUUCCCCAAGGCCCAGGGCUAUA
Acinonyx jubatus (cheetah) is the source of this 1028-nucleotide long non-coding RNA. RefSeq lists it as uncharacterized. Lineage: Eukaryota; Metazoa; Chordata; Mammalia; Carnivora; Felidae. The transcript is spliced from 3 exons. The record is from RefSeq and is a predicted model, not a curated record.